Molecule: ribosomal RNA, 445 nt
Filed under: uncultured bacterium
Lineage: Bacteria
Description: bacterial SSU rRNA
Rfam family: Bacterial small subunit ribosomal RNA
Source: RNAcentral
GCCAGACUCCUACGGGAGGCAGCAGUGGGGAAUAUUGGACAAUGGGGGAAACCCUGAUCCAGCGACGCCGCGUGAGUGAAGAAGUAUUUCGGUACGUAAAGCUCUAUCAGCAGGAAAGAAAAUGACGGUACCUGACUAAGAAGCCCCGGCUAACUACGUGCCAGCAGCCGCGGUAAUACGUAGGGGGCAAGCGUUAUCCGGAUUUACUGGGUGUAAAGGGAGCGUAGACGGCAGCGCAAGUCUGGAGUGAAAUGCCGGGGCCCAACCCCGGAACUGCUCUGGAAACUGUGAAGCUGGGGUGCAGGAGAGGUAAGCGGAAUUCCUGGUGUAGCGGUGAAAUGCGUAGAUAUCAGGAGGAACACCGGCGGCGAAGGCGGCUUACUGGACUGUAACUGACGUUGAGGCUCGAAGGCGUGGGGAGCAAACAGGAUUAGAUACCCCGGUA